GGCUGUCGUCAGCUCGUGUCGUGAGAUGUUCGGUUAAGUCCGCUACGAGCGCAACCCUCGUCGUAUGUUAUAUGUGUCAUACGAGACUGCCGGUAAAAAGCCGGAGGAAGGUGAGGAUGAUGUCAAGUCAGCAUGACCUUUAUAUCCAGGGCUACACACACGCUACAAUGGUCUGUACAAUGGGUAGCCAAGCCGCGAGGCGGAGCCAAUCCUGAAAGCAGGCCUCAGUUCAGAUUGCAGUCUGCAACUCGACUGCAUGAAGCCGGAGUUGCUAGUAACCGCAGGUCAGCAAUACUGCGGUGAAUACGUUCCCGGGUCUU
This 320-nucleotide ribosomal RNA is filed under the name uncultured Anaerolineaceae bacterium. RNAcentral describes it as "bacterial SSU rRNA". It matches the Rfam family "Bacterial small subunit ribosomal RNA", at positions 1047 to 1382 of the family's 1533-position model. The record is from RNAcentral. Lineage: Bacteria; Bacillati; Chloroflexota; Anaerolineae; Anaerolineales; Anaerolineaceae.